CGCCCUGAUGCUAACGGGAUUAGGAAGUGCUGUCAGAAUCGACAACUGACGAUUUUUAUGCCUGUCUGACC
Small nucleolar RNA from Suricata suricatta (meerkat), 71 nucleotides. Ensembl annotates it as small nucleolar RNA, C/D box 49B. NCBI's taxonomy places the organism in Eukaryota, Metazoa, Chordata, Mammalia, Carnivora, Herpestidae. The record is from Ensembl.